Molecule: long non-coding RNA, 427 nt
Organism: Daphnia magna
Lineage: Eukaryota; Metazoa; Arthropoda; Branchiopoda; Diplostraca; Daphniidae
Exons: 3
Source: RefSeq, a predicted model, not a curated record
AACCUGAUUCAUUUCUGGUUUAGCGUCCACGGAGAAUGCAUGCGUUAUUAAGUUCUUCUUAAAAUUACACUCCUGAUGUCGUGUGGUUUUACCUGGAAUUUAGCGUACGUUUUCCAUUUUGUGCUUUACAACUUUAAAAUAAACUCAUACUUAAUUGAAGUCAAACGCAUCCAAUUUUCAAACCAAUGGGACUAUAAAGAAAACAGCUCUUAAUGUUCUUUUCCAACAAAUUUCCUAGUUCCCUAUAUGUAUCAUAAGGUCUCAGAACUGUGCCCGAUGUGCUGUGAUGGCCACAGGACCCUUUUUGUGACAGAAUGCAAUGCCACAAAUGUUUUGUUGCCACUGUAAAUAAAAGAUCUUAAGUGUCACUCCUGUGUUGAUGAAUUGCUAGCUCACACGUAAGAAGUAAAAGGAAGUUCAAGAUUUU